Pogoniulus pusillus (Red-fronted tinkerbird) is the source of this 603-nucleotide long non-coding RNA. RefSeq lists it as uncharacterized. The record is from RefSeq and is a predicted model, not a curated record. Lineage: Eukaryota; Metazoa; Chordata; Aves; Piciformes; Lybiidae. The transcript is spliced from 4 exons.
GGGUUGCCCUACAUGGACCCCUCAGGUGCCUCCCAGGCUAAAUUAUUCUGCAAUUCUGUGAUCAGCACACAGGACAAGAGAAAGUGGAACACAGUGUAGGCAAUUUUGCAACCUCUUCAUAUUCACCCUAUGGCAGUGCCACCCAAGACCAAGCUGGAUCUCCAAACUUCCCACACCAAAAGUCUUCACUCAAGGGCAUACCAGUGCCUAGGAGCUGUACCAGCCAUUCAGAAGGCAGCCAGUGCUGCAGCUGUUGACGGCAAAGACAGAGAUCAGAAGUGCUCUAGGAAGGCUGUCAAGAGCCAGCAGGCACUAAGCAAUGACAGCAGACUGCAAUCCAAGUGCAGCCUAGCUACAUGCAUCGGUGAUAGGUAAACUCAAACAGGUCUUAGCCCAGAGCCUGUCUGGCAAAAGAGAAAAAGAGGAGGAGGAGGAAGCAGGAUGGGAAGUGCCAUGGGAAAGAGGAUUUCUACUGAACAACUUUGGUGCUGCUGUGAAUGCUGACCUGCCACAGCUGGAUCUCCUCCUUGCUCUGUCUGUGUCUAGGAAGGUGUGGAGCAGAAACAAGGCCAGUAGAGGAGCAAGCAGGCUGCUGAAGAGGAC